GGUUUUUCAGGGCGCAUGCGCCGCUUCGGCCGUCAGGCGGCGGUCGCAGGGGACGGAAUCCCCAGGGUGGAGCCCAGCGCCUGGUGCUAGCAGGGCUGGCAUGAUCCAUUCCCCCAUGGGGGGCACUAGGGAGGCCAGGACCCCCCCCCCGCCUUUUGUUACAGCCUCUCCCCCCUUCGGUCCGGGGCUCAGAACUGCCUGGCUUCGUUCUCCCCCUUGUGCCCAGGGAGCUGUUGGGCCUGCCCCCGGAGCAAGGACAAAGUGAGUUGAAGGUAAUGAAAAAUGACCCACCUGGUAUUUUCAGAAAGCUACCUGGGAACUAUUUACAACUGAGGAUAAGGACGUUCUUCAGGGCCUGACCUAGGACAAUGAAGUGACAAUGAAGGAGGGACUAUGUACGCGCUAUAGGGCAGAAGGAACUAAUCAUCACCUGUGAUGGGUACGUAAGGGCUUUGAUAAAGGCACUCUAAUGUCUUAAGGUAACAAAAGUUACAUUGUUAUUUAGUAAAAAUAGCGGGGAAAUGGGGUAGUGGCAGCAAGGCGUCCUUACAUUACCUGAAGGGCACAGGUCAAAGCAAGAGAGUAUAAACUGACGAGUAUUGAGACAUCAUAAUUGCUGGUGGUGAUAGACUAUUCAGUCACGUCUGCUUCACCAUUAAAAACAAAGAAGAAAGAAAGAAACCCAGUGGAGCCAGGACUCCUGGGCUCUAUCCCAGCUCUGGGAGGGAAGUGGGGUUUGGGGGGCCGGAGGGACUCCGGCCUCUGACAAAUGGCCCUCUCCAGAGAUGAUGAGUUGACAUGAAAUCCCCACCCCACCCUCCUGAAGGCAAUGAACAGGCCCAGAUACCAUGGAGCUGGAUGAAGGGCUGAUGCUUGCCUGAGGCAGAGCUUAUGCUCUAAUAAAUUUGCUAGUCUCUAAGGUGCCACAAGUACUCCUGUUCUUCUUUUUGAGGCAGAGCAGAGGCCAUGGCUCAUAGACUUUAAGGCCAGAAGGGACCAGCAUGAUUACCUAGUCUGAUCUGCACUUUGCAGGGCACAGAAUCUCACCCACCCACCCCCAUCAUUUGCCCCUAACCUCUGGCUAAGUU
This is a non-coding RNA of Chrysemys picta bellii (western painted turtle), 1088 nucleotides long. NCBI's taxonomy places the organism in Eukaryota, Metazoa, Chordata, Testudines, Emydidae. The record is from RefSeq and is a predicted model, not a curated record.